Molecule: non-coding RNA, 98 nt
Filed under: Lotharella globosa
Lineage: Eukaryota; Cercozoa; Chlorarachniophyceae
Source: RNAcentral
CUCCCUUCAAAAACUCUCUCUCUCUCGUUCCUUCUUUCUCUAAGUUUCUCCCGUACAUACAGCCGCAUGCACGUGAACUGAGCUCGAUAUCCUCACAU